CAGUCGCCGCGGGAAUACGAAGGGGGCUAGCGUUGCUCGGAAUGACUGGGCGUAAAGGGCGCGUAGGCGGAUUGUUUAGUUAGGCGUGAAAUUCCUGGGCUUAACCUGGGGACUGCGCUUAAUACAGGCAGUCUAGAGUGAGGAAGAGGGUUGUGGAAUUCCCAGUGUAGAGGUGAAAUUCGUAGAUAUUGGGAAGAACACCGGUGGCGAAGGCGGCAACCUGGUCCUUGACUGACGCUGAGGCGCGAAAGCGUGGGGAGCAAACAGGAUUAGAUACCCCCGUAGUCCCUGUCUCUUAUAC
Molecule: ribosomal RNA, 301 nt
Filed under: uncultured bacterium
Lineage: Bacteria
Description: partial 16S ribosomal RNA
Rfam family: Bacterial small subunit ribosomal RNA
Source: RNAcentral